UGGAUUGUGCUUUCUCUCCCCCUGCCAAGGGGCUCUGCUUCAAAAGCCCAGAUUAGAAAAGAUGGGACAUUUGGGGAAAAAAAAAAAAAAAAAAAAAAAGAGCUUGUGCUAUCUUGGCAUUUCCUGUUCCAAUAGCAGAUUUCUUAUGCUUUGAUGAUUCCAGAGUGAGAACACAAAUUGUUAAGUGGAUUGGGGGUGGGAGGUUCUAGUGAGGGAGAAAAGCUUAUUACUUCGGGCCUCUUGCUGUGGCUCUGCACCCUCCUUGCUGCCCUUCAGCCAGAGUGCUCCUGGAGGCCAGGGACUCCAUCUCCCAGGCCUCAGUGCCCAUUAGAUGUUCAACAAAUGUAUGGAUUAAAGAUCUCUUACCCCUCUUGAAAAUUUGUUUUCCAGCCUGGCCAGGCACUGAAUAUGUCCUGAGAGCUAAUGUGGUAUCGACUGAUUAAAGCUGAGAAGAGCAAUGAUGAGGAGGAGGCAUAAGCAGAGAGGAGGUUGGAAGGAAGAACAGUGGCCUGGAAGGAAGAGAGAAGCAUGCGUCCCAGCAGUCAGGACUGGAAUUCAAGCCACUACAAUAGAAGCAGAGCAAAGGAGCCCUUUAGACCUCCCAUCUCAGAGGACCUGGUUGAUUUCUCAAAUCUCUUCACUUCCAUGGGUUAUAAAAAUGACGAGGAAAUGGAGGCUGAGCAACUUGCACAAGGUCACACAGCAAGUAAAUCAUAGCACAGAAAGCAUGAGACCAGUGAUACAAGAAAAACUUUAGACAAGAUUCAUGGAGUACAUGUGCAGCUUUUUUACCUGGGUACGCUGU
Molecule: long non-coding RNA, 805 nt
Organism: Homo sapiens (human)
Lineage: Eukaryota; Metazoa; Chordata; Mammalia; Primates; Hominidae
Exons: 3
Source: RefSeq, a predicted model, not a curated record